UAGUCCACGCUGUAAACGAUGAGUGCUAGGCGUUGCGGCCAUUGAUCGCUGCAGUGCCGAAGCUAACGCAUGAAGCACUCCGCCUGGGGAGUACGGUCGCAAGACUAAAACUCAAAGGAAUUGACGGGGGCCCGCACAAGCGGUGGAGCAUGUGGUUUAAUUCGAUGCAACGCGCAGAACCUUACCUGGGUUUAAACUGCAGUGGACCGGUGCAGAGAUGUAUCUUCCCUUCGGGGCUGCUGUAGAGGUGCUGCAUGGCUGCCGUCAGCUCGUGUCGUGAGAUGUUGGGUUAAGUCCCGCAACGAGCGCAACCCUUGUCCCUAGUUGCCAGCGGUUCGGCCGGGAACUCUGGGGAGACCGGCCGGUGUUAAACCGGAGGAAGGUGGGGGAUGGACGUCAAGUCCUCAUGGGCCUUUAUGCCCAGGGGCUACACACGUGCUACAAUGGUCGGUACAAUGGGGUUGCC
RNAcentral lists this ribosomal RNA (466 nucleotides) under uncultured bacterium. RNAcentral's name for it is "bacterial SSU rRNA". It matches the Rfam family "Bacterial small subunit ribosomal RNA", at positions 791 to 1251 of the family's 1533-position model. The record is from RNAcentral.